This is a small nucleolar RNA of Euleptes europaea (tarantolino), 141 nucleotides long. RefSeq annotates it as small nucleolar RNA SNORA41. NCBI's taxonomy places the organism in Eukaryota, Metazoa, Chordata, Lepidosauria, Squamata, Sphaerodactylidae. The transcript has a single exon. The record is from RefSeq and is a predicted model, not a curated record.
UACCACAGCUACUGGCCUGCAGCUGCUCUGUACUGUAGCAGUUGCGGUAUUCCAACUGUGGGAAAUCAGCAGUUACACGAUGUCCCAAUGCUCCUUUCCUUUCUCAACUGAGUGGAAUGGAUUUCAGUGUAACAGACAAGA